This is a non-coding RNA of Zea mays, 158 nucleotides long. Lineage: Eukaryota; Viridiplantae; Streptophyta; Magnoliopsida; Poales; Poaceae. The record is from Rfam.
AUACUUACAUGGGCGGGGUCAAUGACCGAUCUGUAAGGGCCAUGGCCUAGGCAUGUGGCCCACAUUGCACUUGGUGUGCGCGCUUUCCUAUCAUCCCCAGAUGGGAGAAUGGACGUCAUAAUUUGUGAUUGGAGGGGCACGCGUGCGCGUGGCCCUUG